GAUGAACGCUGGCGGCGUGCCUAAUACAUGCAAGUCGAGCGAACAGACGAGGAGCUUGCUCCUCUGACGUUAGCGGCGGACGGGUGAGUAACACGUGGAUAACCUACCUAUAAGACUGGGAUAACUUCGGGAAACCGGAGCUAAUACCGGAUAAUAUAUUGAACCGCAUGGUUCAAUAGUGAAAGACGGUUUUGCUGUCUCUUAUAGAUGGAUCCGCGCCGCAUUAGCUAGUUGGUAAGGUAACGGCUUACCAAGGCAACGAUGCGUAGCCGACCUGAGAGGGUGAUCGGCCACACUGGAACUGAGACACGGUCCAGACUCCUACGGUAGGCAGCAGUAGGGAAUCUUCCGCAAUGGGCGAAAGCCUGACGGAGCAACGCCGCGUGAGUGAUGAAGGUCUUCGGAUCGUAAAACUCUGUUAUUAGGGAAGAACAAAUGUGUAAGUAACUAUGCACGUCUUGACGGUACCUAAUCAGAAAGCCACGGCUAACUACGUG
RNAcentral lists this ribosomal RNA (497 nucleotides) under uncultured bacterium. RNAcentral describes it as "partial 16S ribosomal RNA". It matches the Rfam family "Bacterial small subunit ribosomal RNA", at positions 28 to 507 of the family's 1533-position model. The record is from RNAcentral.